RNAcentral lists this ribosomal RNA (497 nucleotides) under uncultured bacterium. RNAcentral's name for it is "partial 16S ribosomal RNA". It matches the Rfam family "Bacterial small subunit ribosomal RNA", at positions 28 to 507 of the family's 1533-position model. The record is from RNAcentral.
GAUGAACGCUGGCGGCGUGCCUAAUACAUGCAAGUCGAGCGAACAGACGAGGAGCUUGCUCCUCUGACGUUAGCGGCGGACGGGUGAGUAACACGUGGAUAACCUACCUAUAAGACUGGGAUAACUUCGGGAAACCGGAGCUAAUACCGGAUAAUAUAUUGAACCGCAUGGUUCAAUAGUGAAGGACGGUUUUGCUGUCACUUAUAGAUGGAUCCGCGCCGCAUUAGCUAGUUGGUAAGGUAACGGCUUACCAAGGCGACGAUGCGUAGCCGACCUGAGAGGGUGAUCGGCCACACUGGAACUGGGACACGGUCCAGACUCCUACGGGAGGCAGCAGUAGGGAAUCUUCCGCAAUGGGCGAAAGCCUGACGGAGCAACGCCGCGUGAGUGAUGAAGGUCUUCGGAUCGUAAAACUCUGUUAUUAGGGAAGAACAAAUGUGUAAGUAACUAUGCACGUCUUGACGGUACCUAAUCAGAAAGCCACGGCUAACUACGUG